This 492-nucleotide ribosomal RNA is filed under the name uncultured bacterium. RNAcentral's name for it is "partial 16S ribosomal RNA". It matches the Rfam family "Bacterial small subunit ribosomal RNA", at positions 29 to 507 of the family's 1533-position model. The record is from RNAcentral.
AGUGAACGCUGGCGGUAGGCUUAACACAUGCAAGUCGAACGGCAGCACAGUAAGAGCUUGCUCUUACGGGUGGCGAGUGGCGGACGGGUGAGGAAUACAUCGGAAUCUACUUUUUCGUGGGGGAUAACGUAGGGAAACUUACGCUAAUACCGCAUACGACCUACGGGUGAAAGCAGGGGAUCUUCGGACCUUGCGCGAUUGAAUGAGCCGAUGUCGGAUUAGCUAGUUGGCGGGGUAAAGGCCCACCAAGGCGACGAUCCGUAGCUGGUCUGAGAGGAUGAUCAGCCACACUGGAAGUGAGACACGGGCCAGACUCCUACGGGAGGCAGCAGUGGGGAAUAUUGGACAAUGGGCGCAAGCCUGAUCCAGCCAUACCGCGUGGGUGAAGAAGGCCUUCGGGUUGUAAAGCCCUUUUGUUGGGAAAGAAAAGCAGCAGGUUAAUACCCCGCUGUUCUGACGGUACCCAAAGAAUAAGCACCGGCUAACUUCGUG